RNAcentral lists this ribosomal RNA (755 nucleotides) under uncultured bacterium. RNAcentral describes it as "bacterial SSU rRNA". It matches the Rfam family "Bacterial small subunit ribosomal RNA", at positions 28 to 761 of the family's 1533-position model. The record is from RNAcentral.
AAUCAACGCCGGCGGCGUGCCUAACACAUGCAAGUCGAACGCGAAAGGGGCUUCGGCCCUGAGUAGAGUGGCGAACGGGUGAGUAACGCGUGGGUGACCUACCUUCGAGUGGGGGAUAACGUUCCGAAAGGAGCGCUAAUACCGCAUGAAGUUCUGGAUUUGAACAUCUGGAAACCAAAGCCGGGGACCGCAAGGCCUGGCGCUUGGAGAGGGGCCCGCGUCUGAUUAGCUAGUUGGCGGGGUAACGGCCCACCAAGGCGACGAUCAGUAGCCGGCCUGAGAGGGCGGACGCCCACACUGGGACUGAGACACGGCCCAGACUCCUACGGGAGGCAGCAGUGGGGAAUUGUUCGCAAUGGGCGCAAGCCUGACGACGCAACGCCGCGUGGGGGAUGAAGGUCUUCGGAUUGUAAACCCCUGUCGAGCGGGACGAAUGGCCCGCGACCUAACACGUCGCGGGAGUGACGGUACCGCUAAAGGAAGCCACGGCUAACUCUGUGCCAGCAGCCGCGGUAAUACAGAGGUGGCAAGCGUUGUUCGGAAUUACUGGGCGUAAAGGGCGCGUAGGCGGCCUGCUAAGUCGGACGUGAAAUCCCCCGGCUCAACCUGGGAACUGCGUCUGAUACUGGAAGGCUUGAAUGCGGGAGAGGGAUGCAGAAUUCCAGGUGUAGCGGUGAAAUGCGUAGAUAUCUGGAGGAAUACCGGUGGCGAAAGGCGGCAUCCUGGACCGACAUUGACGCUGAGGCGCGAAAGCU